Long non-coding RNA from Panthera uncia (snow leopard), 508 nucleotides. RefSeq lists it as uncharacterized. NCBI's taxonomy places the organism in Eukaryota, Metazoa, Chordata, Mammalia, Carnivora, Felidae. The transcript has 3 exons. The record is from RefSeq and is a predicted model, not a curated record.
UAAAACAUCAACACAUAGUACUGUGCAUAUAUUUUAUCUAUACUCACACUUCAAGCCAUAGAAGACUAGUUUGGAUUGAAGAAAUAGGUUGAAAGUAGAAUUAGAACAAUUACUGAGAUAUUCAUGUUAUUUGUCGUUUCAGUUGUAUUCUUUUCUGCACUUUCUAAUGCUUCAUAAUCAUCUUGGGAAACAGAAGCUAUCAUAUGAAUAAAAGAAUCUGAAAGGUCAGCAGGCUGAAGUGUGAAAGCAGAGUUGUAAGGCUCCGGUGUUGCCAGCAUUUCAGAACCAGAGAGAACAGGGAUGAAAAUAGUCAUGGAGGGAAGAGUUCCAACUGAUGAUCUUCAAGUUAGGCAGUAAAGAUGGGCACCUGCUCUUCUUUUCCAAGAGAUGAUUUCUUGUUCAAGGACCUUUCGCCUUCCUGGUCUCAGAUCACACACCGGAAGAAGGCCUGUUACUUUUGGAGGAACUUACUGACCAGAGGUAGUUCGUGGCCAUAGAAGAUGGUGAG